Long non-coding RNA from Homo sapiens (human), 1122 nucleotides. Ensembl annotates it as long intergenic non-protein coding RNA 662. NCBI's taxonomy places the organism in Eukaryota, Metazoa, Chordata, Mammalia, Primates, Hominidae. The record is from Ensembl.
GGCCGCCCUGUGACUAACGGCUGGAACCGCCUAAGACACCACCCCAGCCAGCAUGGCCGGCAGGAGCGCACCGCGCUGUCUCCCUCCAGGGAUCCGCACCGCCCUACAAUCCUGCUUUGUGCUGAGAUUGUAGUCCUGCAGGCGUACAACUAACAAGCUGGGUGCAGAUAAGAGACUACAGCUCCCCGCAUCCCAAGCAAAGGUCCCUCCUCUACGGAGCCCCUCCACGCGUCCACUGCGGUUCCGCCGUGCCAAGGGGAGCUUGGCUGUUCACGGGCCUCACCUGCUAGCGAGAAGAUAGCUUGGCCGGGCGGCUGAUCUCACCUUGUAAUUCUGACACUGUGUCUCCCGGGCUUGUCGGCUUCAUGACUUGUGCCCAAAGUUUGAUUUCUCGCAGACCAGGAGGACCCAUUGGACCCCCGGGCUGGCUGCAGGGCCCACACCUGGGUUAGACCUCGCACAGGGACGCUGCUGCCACUGUAAUAAAGCGUGCCUACACGCUUCUGAAACUGGUGUAGGAACAACCUCAGUUCUGUGAAAGGCGGACGCAGCAGGACAGAAUCUCCGUGGACAUCUGUCUGGAGGAGCAAUUUUACUGCGACAUUUUAAAGAAACAAAUUUAAUUGAUUUCCAAGGCUGGAGUGUGACAAAGGAAAAUCUAAAAGGUCAACUUCAUUUACAGGAAAGAGCAUAGGAAAACAGACAAAAGAACAAAGAAGAAAAACAAUAGCAAGUCACUCUAAGUACUGUGGAAAUAAACUAAAUGUCAGGUUAGGAAUAGAACAGUGAAAGAAGGUCCCAGUAGUCCCAAGGACUCGGGAGGCUGAGACACGAAGACUGCCCAGGUGAGACUACAGAGACUGAAGUUGCAGUGAAUCAUCACAUCCUGCUACUGGACUUGAACAGUACUGCUGCUGAUGAGAGCCAUCUGGGCGACCUUCGACAUGGCAAGGUGCGAGCCAUCUGAUCAGCCUUAGACAUGGCAAGGCAAGAGCCAUCUGGUCAACCUUAGAAGUGACAAGGGACAGCCACCUGGUCGACCUUUGACAUGGCAGGAUGACAGCCAUCUGGUCGACCUUAGAGAUGGGAAUGCAAGAGGCUUCAGGUCCACCUUCAACAUGG